CCGAAUCGAGAUCAGCAUGUCAAAGAUCUAGAGCCGCACCAAACAACUCUGCUUUUGAGCAAAAUCCAAAUGCAAGCAUCCCUUCUGGUCAAUACUCCAUUGCAGAGCUUGGUGACCACGCCCAUGACUUGGAACCCAAUGUGUCCUCUACAGACUUAUUCAGAAACACCGAAUUGAGAGCAGUGACUCAGUCAUCCAGUCCCACACCAAACAGCCCUGAGCAUGAGGUGCAUUGUGUCAGAGGUCAAUGUAACACUUCUUCUGCGAAAGAGGGGUUUGGAGAAAUUCCUGUCCAGCACCAGGAGAUUUCACCCCCUACGUUCUCAACAGAUCUUA
This is a long non-coding RNA of Paramisgurnus dabryanus, 336 nucleotides long. RefSeq lists it as uncharacterized. The record is from RefSeq and is a predicted model, not a curated record. Lineage: Eukaryota; Metazoa; Chordata; Actinopteri; Cypriniformes; Cobitidae.